GGCUUCGUAGCUCAGCUGAUAGAGCGCUUGCCAAGUUGAGGCAUGGUGUUUCUGUCGCUGGUUCGAAUCCAGCCGAAACCC
RNAcentral lists this transfer RNA (81 nucleotides) under Paragonimus skrjabini miyazakii. Its description in RNAcentral is "Paragonimus miyazakii tRNA". It matches the Rfam family "tRNA". From Rfam's summary of the family: Transfer RNA (tRNA) molecules are approximately 80 nucleotides in length. Their secondary structure includes four short double-helical elements and three loops (D, anti-codon, and T loops). The record is from Rfam by way of RNAcentral. Lineage: Eukaryota; Metazoa; Platyhelminthes; Trematoda; Plagiorchiida; Troglotrematidae.